CGGGACGUGGCGCAGCUUGGUAGCGCGCGCGCAUGGGGCGCGCGAGGUCGCUGGUUCAAAUCCAGUCGUCCCGACCA
RNAcentral lists this transfer RNA (77 nucleotides) under Candidatus Acetothermia bacterium. RNAcentral describes it as "tRNA-Pro". It matches the Rfam family "tRNA". Rfam says of the family: Transfer RNA (tRNA) molecules are approximately 80 nucleotides in length. RNAcentral also lists the same sequence under 2 other names. The record is from RNAcentral. Lineage: Bacteria; Candidatus Bipolaricaulota.